Molecule: ribosomal RNA, 253 nt
Filed under: uncultured bacterium
Lineage: Bacteria
Description: partial 16S ribosomal RNA
Rfam family: Bacterial small subunit ribosomal RNA
Source: RNAcentral
UACGUAGGGUGCAAGCGUUAUCCGGAUUCACUGGGUUUAAAGGGUGCGUAGGUGGACUGGUAAGUCCGUGGUGAAAUCCCCAAGCUUAACUUGGGAACUGCCGUGGAUACUAUCAGUCUUGAAUACUGUGGAGGUAAGCGGAAUAUGUCAUGUAGCGGUGAAAUGCUUAGAUAUGACAUAGAACACCGAUAGCGAAGGCAGCUUGCUACACAAAUAUUGACACUGAGGCACGAAAGCGUGGGGAUCAAACAGG